UACGUAGGGUGCGAGCGUUGUCCGGAAUUAUUGGGCGUAAAGGGCUCGUAGGCGGUUUGUCGCGUCGGGAGUGAAAACCCAGGGCUUAACUCUGGCUUGCUUUCGAUACGGGCAGACUAGAGGUAUGCAGGGGAGAACGGAAUUCCUGGUGUAGCGGUGAAAUGCGCAGAUAUCAGGAGGAACACCGGUGGCGAAGGCGGUUCUCUGGACGGUUUCUGACGCUAAGACGCGAAGCGUGGGAGCAACAGG
RNAcentral lists this ribosomal RNA (249 nucleotides) under uncultured bacterium. Its description in RNAcentral is "partial 16S ribosomal RNA". It matches the Rfam family "Bacterial small subunit ribosomal RNA", at positions 524 to 776 of the family's 1533-position model. The record is from RNAcentral.